CUCGUGGUCAGAGGGAAGGGCGUAACGCUGGGUUUAUGGUCCCAGCCCUGCUGAUACCAGGUUCCCAGUUUUGCACAGGUUGGACACAGAUUCAGAGCACUGAACCCAAUCCCCUCUGGCAGAUCCACAAAUGGCUAUAAUAAGAAGCAAAUGGUGAAGCAUGCCUUCAGACAAUCCUGUGAAACUCGGGUGUUUCAGAGACUGGCAUGCCAGCAUAUAGACGGAAAGAUUGAAGGAGGAGGUUCAUCAGCAGAACAGAGUUAUUCCUCUCCUGAGCCUCAUGUGCAGGGCACCAGCCUUCCUGUUUCUGAGUCCUGCACAACUUGCCCUGGGUGAUGGAGUGGAGGGCUGCUAAUGGACAACUUUGUGUGUGUGUGAUUGUAGGAAGGAGAGGAAGAGCA
Molecule: long non-coding RNA, 401 nt
Organism: Hyaena hyaena (striped hyena)
Lineage: Eukaryota; Metazoa; Chordata; Mammalia; Carnivora; Hyaenidae
Exons: 3
Source: RefSeq, a predicted model, not a curated record